This 400-nucleotide ribosomal RNA is filed under the name uncultured Cycloclasticus sp. RNAcentral describes it as "bacterial SSU rRNA". It matches the Rfam family "Bacterial small subunit ribosomal RNA", at positions 409 to 801 of the family's 1533-position model. RNAcentral also lists the same sequence under 1 other name. Lineage: Bacteria; Pseudomonadati; Pseudomonadota; Gammaproteobacteria; Thiotrichales; Piscirickettsiaceae. The record is from RNAcentral.
GAGAGGCCUUAGGGUUGUAAAGCACUUUCAGACGUGAGGAAAAGUUAAGUCCUAAUACGGCUUAACCCUGACGUUAACGUCAGAAGAAGCACCGGCUAACUCCGUGCCAGCAGCCGCGGUAAUACGGAGGGUGCAAGCGUUAAUCGGAAUUACUGGGCGUAAAGCGCGCGUAGGCGGUUAAAUAAGUCAGAUGUGAAAGCCCCGGGCUCAACCUGGGAACUGCAUUUGAAACUGUUUAGCUAGAGUGUGGUAGAGGAGAGUGGAAUUUCAGGUGUAGCGGUGAAAUGCGUAGAUAUCUGAAGGAACAUCAGUGGCGAAGGCGGCUCUCUGGACCAACACUGACGCUGAGGUGCGAAAGCGUGGGUAGCAAAAGGGAUUAGAUACCCCAGUAGUCGGCGGG